AAUGGGUGAGUUAUAAAAAAAAUUCACCCCCCCCAUACAUUUGUCACGGAAGGGUAAAUUAGCUAGAGACCAAAACUGGUCAUUUGUGCCAGGCUGUAAAUGUUUACUUCUGCUGUAAAGUUGAACAUUUUAGCAUUAACUCCCUUUUGGAGCCAGCCUCAAGUGACCAUUCGAGGAACUGCAGGUUUUAGCAUUUCCUCAUUGGCUUCAUUUGUCAGCCUGGGUGGUUGCUGCUUGGGUUCAGAAUUUAGGCCGGCAGCAGGCGCUGGAAGAGAGGAAGAGCCAUAUGCCAUUGGUGCCAGAGAUAGGUGGCAGUGGCCAGAGGAACCUGUCUCUGGUGGUACAGGGAACAUACAGCAACACAGCAAAGAUACUGAAGCUGAUCAACAAGAAUGGGAAACACACUUGACAUUGUCCCUCUUCAAAGACAAACUGACACUACACCCCUUCUUCAUUAAGGCUGUAGACAGAGUGCACAUGAAGAUCUGCCGAGUACGUCAUCAAGUCCAGAAUUUGGAGCCACACAAACCAGUGAAGAAGAUAAUCCAAAACCUCACUACAGAUGGAUGAUGAAGUAGAGCUUGACAUCCGGACAACAAUUCAGAUGGUGAUACUAAACUAUUCAGAAUGUUGUUACAGUUGAGUCCAAAUGUUUGCAUCCCCUUACUUUGAAAUGGCAGAAAGAGUAAAAUGAUUUUUUUUCCCCCUCAACAUAUUUAAUGCACAUUUAGCUAGCGCAACUGUACCUUCAUCAACAGAAGUAACUAAAGUGGUCAGGAAAUUUAUAAAAAGAAAUUUCGAGUAAAAGAAUGAAAAUCAUAUCAGUGCAAAGGUUUGCAGCCCCCUUUAUGAAAUGUUCUCUAAUACUUUGCAUGUCCGCUAUAUACAGCCCUCUUCAAAGCGAUCCACGAGUUUUCAGUGAUAUUUAAAUCUGGAGACUGGGAAGGCCAUGGUAAAACGUUCAACUUUUUUUAAACCAUUCCUGAGUUUGUUGGAUAGUUGUCUUGAAGGCUCCAGUGCCUUUUAAUUUUUAGCUUUUUGACUGAUGGUAGAAGGUUUUGCUUUAAAAUCUUCUGAUAUUGGGCUGCUUUCAUUCUUCCUUCCACUUUGUGCAGAGCUCCAGCGUCUGAUGAAAGCAUAUACACAUUGAUUCACUCGUUUUGCCAUUUCAAACUAAGGAGAUGCAAACCUUUGGAUUUUAUAUGUAAAUAUGUUUGAAAAGAUGAAUUUUGUGUCACACGCAGCAUGGAAGGAAGACCAGGACUCAAAAAAUGUGUAUUUCAGGCAGUUUACUGUGACGAGCUUGAGUGAGAUUAACAGCAAUUUAUGAAACAGACAUUCUCAUACUGUUGCUAGCUCCCUGCUUCUCCUCGUCUCCCUGCUCCUCCUUCCUAUGCCUUAUAGUGACUGGAGAAAUUAACAUCCAUUCUAGUUACCUUUCACUGUGAUUCUGACAUCAUAUAGCUCCUUAGAGAGGCUACAAUGCAGACAUUGUGGCUACAUGGAUCAUUACAUAAUUUGGUCAUGAAACAGGCAUACACUGUGGUAUGAAGGUCUCAGCUGUCCUUGGUAUAUGACCACCAGUUAUGUGGAAUACACAGAGAAUGAAAGUUCCAAGCUAACGGUGUCGUAUUAAUCAUUCUUAUUGUUGUGAAAUGUAAUGUUCUGUCAUUAGUAUUGCUUAAAUCUGGGAUCUUUUACAUAAGUGGUGCUUUACAGCUGCAGAGUAAUUUACAGUACUGUUAAAACAAUGAAAAAUUGCAUGGUCUUUCAUAAAGGUUAGGGUAAACAAUGUUAAAAUUAACAGUUUUGCUCCUUAGGUUUGAUGGCGAUGUGCCCAUGUGACGAGCAGAGGGACGAAAUCAGUCUUGUCUGUUCUUGUGACUUGUCACCAGUAAAUCACUUUACAUUACUUCAACAUGCGGUGAGCUGAAAUCCUAAUAUUUAAAUUCAAACCUUUACUUCACCCCGUACUGGGAAAAGACGCUGAAAGUGAGAUGUGAGCGAGACAUGGGCAUUACUGAAGCGUGAUUCCAUUCAAUCCAGCGAAAAAAUAGACAUGAAGCGUAAAAAAAGUGAAGGUUCUACGGGAGAUGCGUUUCUCAGAUUCGGUGUGGAUUGAAACAUUUGACAAAAGUGAAUAAUAUCAGAAAGAGGUUACCUCUA
Molecule: long non-coding RNA, 2166 nt
Organism: Monopterus albus (swamp eel)
Lineage: Eukaryota; Metazoa; Chordata; Actinopteri; Synbranchiformes; Synbranchidae
Exons: 3
Source: RefSeq, a predicted model, not a curated record